Molecule: long non-coding RNA, 675 nt
Filed under: Homo sapiens (human)
Lineage: Eukaryota; Metazoa; Chordata; Mammalia; Primates; Hominidae
Description: novel transcript
Source: RNAcentral
AUUGCCGGAGGCCAGAAAGUAAGACAAAUAACAGCUCACCUGCCUGGCUUGUUGGAGCAACAAGAAACUUUAAGAGCAAUCCUCCAUUUGCCAGGGGAAGAUAACUGGAAAGCUGAGCUGGAGUUUGAAAGACAAGAUGUAUUUCAAACUUCCCUUGAACUUUCUCCAGUAAGUAUAAUUGUGUGCUUGUUGUCAACCCGGCCUUAGUCCUUGUCAUUACAGGUUCAGUAGCUGCAAAGGUGAAAUGUUUUGACAAAUAUUGAACGUCAUCUAUUUUAUACUCUGGAUCAGCAUGGAUGUUUUUUAGCUUCUUCAGACGGCUCUGUAAUGGAGUUAUAUUUGGAAGUUUCCCAGUAUGGUGCAAAAAGCCUCAUAGAGAGAGGAAGUUUAUAAACUGCAGUUCUACGCGAAGAAGAAAGACCAGAUGCUCAUCCUGCAUGACUCCUCCUUGAGCCUUUGUAUUUUCCCAGCUAGACCUUUCAGGCUUCCUAUUUAUACAUUUAUCUCAAGUAUACCGAGUGGUGACAAAGAUGCGAAUCGGCCAGCACAUUUUCACUCAGUGUAGAGAGAAGCCAUUUAAAGACUGAGAUAACAUUUCAAGAAAACAAUAAAACCUGACAAUAAGGGAAGAUGAGAAAAAAGGAACAUUCCUGACUGUGGUUCUGACAUUCACAA